RNAcentral lists this ribosomal RNA (433 nucleotides) under uncultured bacterium. RNAcentral's name for it is "partial 16S ribosomal RNA". It matches the Rfam family "Bacterial small subunit ribosomal RNA", at positions 29 to 507 of the family's 1533-position model. The record is from RNAcentral.
AACGAACGCUGGCGGCAUGCCUAACACAUGCCAGUCGAACGAGACCUUCGGGUCUAGUGGCGCACGGGUGCGUAACGCGUGGGAACCUGCCCUUAGGUUCGGAAUAACUCCCCGAAAGGGGUGCUAAUACCGGAUAAUGUCUUCGGACCAAAGAUUUAUCGCCUUUGGAUGGGCCCGCGUUGGAUUAGCUAGUUGGUAGGGUAAAAGCCUACCCAGGCGAAGAUCCAUAGCUGGUCUGAGAGGAUGAUCAGCCACACUGGGACUGAGACACGGCCCAGACUCCUACGGGAGGCAGAAGUGGGGAAUAUUGGACAAUGGGAGAAAGCCUGAUCCAGCAAGGCCGCGUGAGUGAUGAAGGCCUUAGGGUUGUAAAGCUCUUUUACCCGGGAUGAUAAUGACAGUACCGGGAGAAUAAGCUCCGGCUAACUCCGUG